GGAUGCUUUGCAAAUUGAUUGUGGUUCUUUUUAUAGUUCUGAAAGUGUCUAUUAAAAUGAAUAUUUCACAAGUGCUACUUUAAAUGAUCUCCUAGAUUUUUGAUUUUACUAUGCCAGUAUAAUCGCAGGGUUUUUUGUUUGUUUGUUUUUACAUUUUUAGGCUCAUGUGUCUUGCCUGGAGCCAUCUAAAAUACCUCUCUCUCUCAGAAAGCAGGAGAAACGCUCUGAAGAGGAUAAAAUGGAAGGUGUUCCGCUAUUUACACAGGGUCUUAUUGCUAAGGAACGACCAGGACGGAAAGAAGAGGAAGAUUGAAUAACGGAGCCUCAUCACUGGUGACCUAGCUUCAGUCGCAGAGUUGCUCAAAGCCUCAGUUCAAGCAGGGUGAACUCAUUACAAGUACCCAGAGAUUCUUCCCCAAAAUCUUCAGCGUGAACC
RNAcentral lists this long non-coding RNA (436 nucleotides) under Monodelphis domestica (gray short-tailed opossum). RNAcentral's name for it is "lncRNA (ENSMODG00000044633.1)". The record is from RNAcentral. Lineage: Eukaryota; Metazoa; Chordata; Mammalia; Didelphimorphia; Didelphidae.